RNAcentral lists this long non-coding RNA (373 nucleotides) under Pan troglodytes (chimpanzee). Its description in RNAcentral is "long non-coding RNA NONPTRT003939". Lineage: Eukaryota; Metazoa; Chordata; Mammalia; Primates; Hominidae. The record is from RNAcentral.
UCACCGUGUUAGCCAGGAUGGUCUCAAUCUUCUAACCUCAUGAUCUGCCCACCUCGGCCUCGCAAAGCGCUGGGAUUACAGGCGUGAGCCUCCGCGACCGGCCAGAACUAGCUCUUCUUAAGGAUGUGACAGUGAUCUGCACUAGAGCUUCAGGCAGCUAAGGUGCAGCCCUUGUUUGGCCUGGUAACAUCUACUUCCCACUUCGGCGAAGUGCAACUAUUCUGAGAGCCCCCAUGCUAUGAGAAGUCCAAGCCACAUGAAGCGGCCCUAGGGGCUCCAGUGCUAGGUAUAGAACAAGAAAAGCUCCAGAGCAUUUGAGAGACUGUGAGGAAAGACACCACCUGGGAAGUGCAUGUUCCAGAUCUCAUUACCC